Heterocephalus glaber (naked mole-rat) is the source of this 113-nucleotide small nuclear RNA. Its record names the gene U2. It matches the Rfam family "U2 spliceosomal RNA". From Rfam's summary of the family: U2 is a small nuclear RNA (snRNA) component of the spliceosome (involved in pre-mRNA splicing). Complementary binding between U2 snRNA (in an area lying towards the 5' end but 3' to hairpin I) and the branchpoint sequence (BPS) of the intron results the bulging out of an unpaired adenosine, on the BPS, which initiates a nucleophilic attack at the intronic 5' splice site, thus starting the first of two transesterification reactions that mediate splicing. Lineage: Eukaryota; Metazoa; Chordata; Mammalia; Rodentia; Bathyergidae. The record is from Ensembl.
AUCACUUCUUGGCCUUUUGGCUAAGAUCAAGUAUAGUAUCUGUAUGUGUAGGAAAAGAACAUUUACCAUUUGUCCCUUGAGUCUCUAGAUAAUUAAAAUAUUUUUUAUUCAUU